GUUUUAAUAAUUUAACAAAAAUAUUGGUCUUGUAAAUCAAAAAUAAGGAACGACCUUUUAAAACU
RNAcentral lists this transfer RNA (65 nucleotides) under Microcerotermes sp. H TB-2017. RNAcentral's name for it is "tRNA-Thr". The record is from RNAcentral. RNAcentral also lists the same sequence under 1 other name. Lineage: Eukaryota; Metazoa; Arthropoda; Insecta; Blattodea; Termitidae.